Long non-coding RNA from Austrofundulus limnaeus, 1258 nucleotides. RefSeq lists it as uncharacterized. The transcript is spliced from 3 exons. The record is from RefSeq and is a predicted model, not a curated record. Lineage: Eukaryota; Metazoa; Chordata; Actinopteri; Cyprinodontiformes; Rivulidae.
AACCUUCUAGUGUUUGAGGAAUAUACUGCAGUGAAGAUCAUAUAUGUGCCUCUGCAGGGACGCUGGGGGCAUUAUGUAACAAAUGUGUGGGGUUAACUGGUUUCCCAAGGGGACGCUACUGAGAAGCUGGCUCACCAAGUCGCGGCCCAGAUUACUACUGCUGAUUGCAGGUUUGAAGAGGCCUCAGGUGACCCUUAUGAGGAGAAAAAGGAUGAAGCGCACAAAAGUAGCAAAGGCCACGUAAGCGAGCCUGCAGCCGAAUUCCCCACUUCACCUGAGCCUCAGACAGAGCCCUGCUUGUUAGAGAUGGAAGAUAAACGAGAGGAUGACCUGUUUGAAGCAYAUCUGCACCAACAAAGAACUAAAUCCAAAGUAUCACAAAAAGUAAUGAAGCUGGAGAAGAAACCACAGAUUUUUAGACCUCCAGACUAACAUGGAUCAAACCCCAACCUGAACAAACAGCAUCACACCUUCCUUCAAAUACAUGUWUUGUCUUAUGACUGUGGUAUUCUCAUCAUUCUUAUCCAAUGUGUUACUAAAAGAACCCAGCUAUCCCAUCUUUAUGAUUCAAGAGUGUCAGGUUUGAAUCUGAAACUCAGCUGCUGAUUAAACACAGAUUUCUGCUCACCUUUUCCCAUCAGUUCAACACUUCUCAAGCAGCUGUGACUCACGCUGGAAGCAUGUUGAACGUACGGCAAGAUGCAAACCAAUAAAACAAGAUUGUCUGCUGUGGCCAUGUGUACAAGAGAAAUAAAUUUAACCUCACAAUAUAUGCUUAUGAAWAAUGUUGCCUAAUUUAACAUUUAAUCUUAUAGGUUUUAGCUACUGUUUGUUUUUAUCUAUUUAUUUAAAAGUUUUUUCUUCCAAAACAUAAUCUCGGUUCUUUUUUUUUUCUUUUGCUGAUGUUUGUACGUGUCUUAUAAUAUCCAAACAAGAGCUGAAAGGGAUUAUCUGAAGAAAUGUCGUUAAUCUGAACCGUACUGAGAUUAAAGAUACUCAYUGCAGUGCAAACUAUAAAAUAAUAAAAACAAGGUUCUCUUGAACUAAACACUGCAAUUUGAAAAAGUUUACUCUAGUAGUUUUCCAGAUAUCUGAAUUGUAAGUCAAUGUGAACAUUUCAUCUGCAUACUUUCUGUGGUAAAUCUGAGCAUAAAACAUACAAGUACAUGGAGGUGUAGAAAAUACCACGUCUUCUGGUUGAAGUGGAAAUGCUGUUGCUCAAUGAAGAAAGGACUCUGAAAAAACAGGCUGGUUGAAC